GGAUGAAGGCCUUCGGGUUGUAAACUGCUGUCAGCUGGGAAGAAAGGUUUUUAGUGAACAACUAAAAAUUUUGACGGUACCAGCAGAGGAAGCCACGGCUAACUCUGUGCCAGCAGCCGCGGUAAUACAGAGGUGGCAAGCGUUGUUCGGAUUUAUUGGGCGUAAAGGGUCCGUAGGCGGUCCGGAAAGUUGGAUGUGAAAGCCUGCAGCUUAACUGCAGAACUGCAUUCAAAACUCCCGGACUCGAGUUUGAGAGGGGUAAAGGGAAUUCCCGGUGUAAGGGUGAAAUCUGCAGAUAUCGGGAAGAACACCAGUCGCGAAGGCGCUUUACUGGCUCACAACUGACGCUGAGGGACGAAAGCUAGGGGAGCAAACGGGAUUAGAUACCCCUGUAGUCC
RNAcentral lists this ribosomal RNA (398 nucleotides) under uncultured bacterium. RNAcentral describes it as "bacterial SSU rRNA". It matches the Rfam family "Bacterial small subunit ribosomal RNA", at positions 406 to 796 of the family's 1533-position model. The record is from RNAcentral.